UGGAUGAAACCAGGGAAUGUGGUUGGCAAGUGACUGUCAUGCUUGGAAUACUGCGUGUUUCUGAAAAGGAGAGAUUCUUCUUUCAGAGAUGUGUGAGAAAUAAAACUGAUCAUUCUCCAUUAACAGCUGGAGGGUUUUCUUAAAAAUAUUCAUCUGAUUUAUGAUUUAGAGUGUUUAGAAGGAUUAGGAUACUCUACUGUUUCAUGACAUUCUUUGGCUUCCCAUUGCCUAUAGAAGCACCUUGCCUUGUCCUUGAAUUACCUGGUUAAUCCUUCUACAGCCUCUAACUCUCCAAGCACACCUUGAGCCUCUCACCUGCCCCUCACUAUGCAUCUGCCAUGUUGAGAUUUAUCAUCUGUCCUUACGGCUGUUAAAGCCUUGUCUCACCACAGCACUGUUGCUUCCCUCUCUCUAAAAACUGACCCUCAUCUUCUUUGGUGGCUGUUUUCCUCUAACUUCUGGUCCUUAGAUGAGGAGAUUGUGUCAUUACGGCAUACAACCCUCCAUAACUCUAUUCAAUGAUUCUUCUACUUUUGCCAUCAUUCUCUACAUCAAAAACUUCUUUUUUUUAAAUUAUAGUUGAUUUAUACUGUUGUAUCAAUUUCUGCUGGACAGCUUAGUGACCCUAUUUUCCAUAAGGGUCUAUCACCAAAGAUUGAAUAUAGUCCAAUCCCUGGGGCCAGAUUGACAUGCAGAAAUCUAGAUCACAGUAUAACCAUUUCAUCAUUGUUUCCUGCACUGUGAUCUGUACCUCAAUUACAGAAUGGCUACACGUGAUAUCACCCAACAGAGUCCUAUGCUUCUCAAGAUGCAGUGCUUUUCUUCCCCUCCCCACUGGAAAACUUAUUUUUACAACUGAAGUCGUUUUUGGUGGCCAUUGGUAUCCUCGAGCAGUGUCACAAUGUAAAUGAAAAGCAAGACUUGGUUCCUGGAAAUAAUUCCUAACUUAGGAAGAUCCUCUGCUCUGAGGUAGCCAAAAUGACAUCCGUUACCUCCUGGGGUUCUGAUACUUCCUGGAUUGUUGUUGCCCUUUUUCAAAAAUGUAUUAUUGUUAUUAUUAUUAUUGCUGUUAUUAUUAUUAUUUUUCUUUUUAGGGUGGUGCCUAUGACAUAUGGAAGUUGCUGGGCUAGGGGUUGAAUCAUAGCUGCAGCUGCCAGCCUACACCAUAGCCACAGCAACAUGGGAUCCUAGCCAAAUCUGUGACCUCUGCUGCAGUUCAUGGCAAUGAGAGAUCCUUAAUCCACUGAGCAAGGCCAGGAAUUGAACUGUAUCCUCAUGGGUACUAGUCGGGUUCUUAACCUGUGAAGCCACCAUGGGAACUCCAGCUUUUGCCAUUUUUAUUGUUUAUUUCUCAUCCAUAACUAUUUUAGCACCUCCCCCAUUAAUCUGUUGUCUUUCACUUAAACUCCUUUUCAUAGGUUUGAUAUUUAAAUAUUUGCUUAUGCCCUGGAUUAAA
Molecule: long non-coding RNA, 1456 nt
Filed under: Sus scrofa (pig)
Lineage: Eukaryota; Metazoa; Chordata; Mammalia; Artiodactyla; Suidae
Description: lncRNA (ENSSSCG00040068643.1)
Source: RNAcentral